GCCGGUGUGGCUCAGUGGUUGAGCAUCAGCCUAUGAACCAGGAGGUCCCGGGUUCGAUUCCUGGUCAGGGCA
RNAcentral lists this transfer RNA (72 nucleotides) under Cnephaeus nilssonii (northern bat). Its description in RNAcentral is "tRNA-OTHER". It matches the Rfam family "tRNA". Rfam says of the family: Transfer RNA (tRNA) molecules are approximately 80 nucleotides in length. Their secondary structure includes four short double-helical elements and three loops (D, anti-codon, and T loops). The record is from RNAcentral. Lineage: Eukaryota; Metazoa; Chordata; Mammalia; Chiroptera; Vespertilionidae.